Molecule: transfer RNA, 56 nt
Filed under: Bos taurus (domestic cattle)
Lineage: Eukaryota; Metazoa; Chordata; Mammalia; Artiodactyla; Bovidae
Also listed under: 1 other name
Rfam family: tRNA
About the family: Transfer RNA (tRNA) molecules are approximately 80 nucleotides in length. Their secondary structure includes four short double-helical elements and three loops (D, anti-codon, and T loops). Further hydrogen bonds mediate the characteristic L-shaped molecular structure. tRNAs have two regions of fundamental functional importance: the anti-codon, which is responsible for specific mRNA codon recognition, and the 3' end, to which the tRNAs corresponding amino acid is attached (by aminoacyl-tRNA synthetases). tRNAs cope with the degeneracy of the genetic code in two manners: having more than one tRNA (with a specific anti-codon) for a particular amino acid; and 'wobble' base-pairing, i.e. permitting non-standard base-pairing at the 3rd anti-codon position.
Source: Rfam by way of RNAcentral
UGGCUCAGAUGGUAAAGUGUCUGCUUGCAAUGCAGGAGACCAGGGUUCGAUCCCUG